This 948-nucleotide small RNA is filed under the name Arabidopsis thaliana (thale cress). RNAcentral describes it as "ATSL076480". The record is from RNAcentral. Lineage: Eukaryota; Viridiplantae; Streptophyta; Magnoliopsida; Brassicales; Brassicaceae.
UUUGAUUCCACUAAUCUCGUCAAUGAAAUGAUAAAGGGAUAGUUUAAUUAUGGUUUCAUGAUCAUGGUUUUAUGAAAUUUGUUUCUAACUUAUAUAUUGAUGUCAUUAGUCAAUUUUCAAAUCAUUUAGCAGGAAAGAUGUGUAAGGAAAGACGUAUAGUGUGUGAGUCAAGCAACAAGAUCAGAGUAUCGCCAUACCCGCUUCGAUCUACUAGGACCAACAAACUCAAAGCAAUUGAGUCACCUAUUGAUGAGUCAAAUUGGGAAGAUGUGCGGUGUAUGAUCUGCAUGGAACCGCCACACGAAGCUGUGCUUUUGACAUGCUCGUCCUCACUCAAUGGAUGUCGUCCUUACAUGUGCGGCACGAGUUUUCGUCACUCCAACUGUUUCAAACAGUUUUGCAGAAACAACAGAAAAAAGCGCUCAAACACCAAGACCUUACAUUGCCCUCUUUGUAGAGGAGAAGUCUUGGAGACGAAAAAGGCUUCGAAGACUGCAAGAAGAUUCAUGAAUGCUAAACCGAGGUCUUGCCCUGUGGAUGGCUGUGAAUUUUCAGGGACAUAUGCUCACCUUAAUAAGCACUUGAAAACUGAGCAUCAGGGUCUUGUCCCAGCAAAGGUCGAUCCACAAAGGCAAAGUAGGUGGGAAAUGUUGGUAAGACAUGCUGAAUAUGUUAAUCUCAUGUCUGCAGCUGGGAUUCCGCAUAUGUCUGGGGUUGUGCAUCAUCAACUUCCCAACAAUCAUCAUCUUCCGAUGUUUCAGGUGGGCUUUAGUGGAACCAUGCAAAAUUUGGAUGGUCCGAGUAAUGUAAGUAACGGAUUUGGUCCCGUCAACUACCCCCCAGUUUUUGUACCCAGACUGCAGUUUCGACCAGUGUUUGACAUGUAUCGUGAUAGGAUUCCAUGAAAAAUCCUAGUUCAUUGAUAACCAUAAUCAUAAUAUUUUUCCU